Molecule: ribosomal RNA, 116 nt
Filed under: Massilia antarctica subsp. insulae
Lineage: Bacteria; Pseudomonadati; Pseudomonadota; Betaproteobacteria; Burkholderiales; Oxalobacteraceae
Description: partial 16S ribosomal RNA
Rfam family: Bacterial small subunit ribosomal RNA
Source: RNAcentral
GAACUGAAGAGUUUGAUCCUGGCUCAGAUUGAACGCUGGCGGCAUGCCUUACACAUGCAAGUCGAACGGCAGCGCGGGGCAACCUGGCGGCGAGUGGCGAACGGGUGAGUAAUAUA